AUGAAUCUAGCUUCGGCCCCGGGCCCGGAUGGCCUUCCGGUGAAAUUCUUCCAAACCUUCUAGUCUGCCAUCAAACUAGAGAUUAUGGUCUUGUUUCACGAGUUCUACGUAGGCUCCAUGGACCUUGGGCGUCUGAACUACGGGAUCAUUAUGCUUAUUCCCAAAGUUCCUGGCGCAUCGGACAUCCGCCAGUUUUGGCCAAUCACAGUCAAAAACGUGACUUUUCAGAUUUUUGCGGAGGGGUACGCCAAUAUGGUGACCCGGCUAGCGGACAUGAUAAUCCACCCCAACCAAUCGGCCUUUAUCCAAGCCCAAUUCAUUCUUGAUGUGGUGUUGUCUACCACGAGGUGCUUCAUGAAGUCCGCUCCAAGCACCAGUAGGCGGUCUUCCUGAAGGAAGAAUUCCAUAAGGCCUAUGACAUGGUCCUCUAGCCCUUCCUCCGGGAAGUUCUGCUGUGAAAGGGCUUCAACAAUCGCUGGGUCACUAGGGUCAUGCAGCUAG
This 501-nucleotide ribosomal RNA is filed under the name Triticum aestivum (bread wheat). Its description in RNAcentral is "partial small subunit ribosomal RNA". Lineage: Eukaryota; Viridiplantae; Streptophyta; Magnoliopsida; Poales; Poaceae. The record is from RNAcentral.